RNAcentral lists this unclassified non-coding RNA (391 nucleotides) under Hevea brasiliensis (rubber tree). The record is from RNAcentral. Lineage: Eukaryota; Viridiplantae; Streptophyta; Magnoliopsida; Malpighiales; Euphorbiaceae.
GUAACGGCCAAGGACUGGGACUCAGUCCCACAUCGAGAGGCUAUGGGAUUUAUAUGGGAUAUAUAAUAAGUAAUAACCUUAGCUAUAACUACUAAAUAAUUUAGGUUAACAUUUUUGGACUAGUAACUUAGGGCCUGAAAGUUAUUUGGGUCAGUUCAGCUGGGAUAUUACAAAUGGUAUCAAAGCCACCUAGGUCAGAAAAUUGAGCGGAGCUAGUGAGCUUUGAGGAGAGGGCUACCCGUAGCAAGAGAUGAGGUAAAGCCACACGAAACACUAGCAAACCACAAUAUUCAAGGGUCCGGUCCUGGCUUAGCAAUUAUACCCGGAAAUUAACAUAGCAUCGGCAUCGAUUGCAACAAGGACAUCCCAAAAUUCAAGGGGAGAGAUUGUA